CCGAUUUUAGUGAACCUGACCUUUGGUUAUGGUAUCGCGAAAACAUUGUAUUUAAAACCCCACUCAUAAAAAAAAAAAUUUUUUAUAUAUAAAUAAAUAAAGA
RNAcentral lists this unclassified non-coding RNA (103 nucleotides) under Rhizophagus irregularis DAOM 181602=DAOM 197198. Lineage: Eukaryota; Fungi; Glomeromycota; Glomeromycetes; Glomerales; Glomeraceae. The record is from RNAcentral.